UGGGGGAUAUUGCACAAUGGGCGAAAGCUUGAUGCAGCGACGCCGCGUGGGGGAUGAAGGCCUUCGGGUUGUAAACUUCUUUUGCUCUGAACAAGGCAUGCCUUUGGGGUGUGUUGAGUGUAGGGGUUGAUUAGCGCCGGCUAACUACGUGCCAGCAGCCGCGGUAAUACGUAGGGCGCGAGCGUUGUCCGGAAUUAUUGGGCGUAAAGGGCUUGUAGGUGGCUGGUUGCGUCUGUCGUGAAAGCUCAUGGCUUAACUGUGGGUUUGCGGUGGGUACGGGCUGGCUUGAGUGCAGUAGGGGAGGCUGGAAUUCCUGGUGUAGCGGUGGAAUGCGCAGAUAUCAGGAGGAAUACCGGUGGCGAAGGCGGGUCUCUGGGCUGUUACUGACGCUGAGGAGCGAAAGCGUGGGGAGCGAACAGG
This 420-nucleotide ribosomal RNA is filed under the name Fusobacteriota bacterium. RNAcentral describes it as "Fusobacteria bacterium partial 16S ribosomal RNA". It matches the Rfam family "Bacterial small subunit ribosomal RNA", at positions 355 to 776 of the family's 1533-position model. Lineage: Bacteria; Fusobacteriati; Fusobacteriota. The record is from RNAcentral.